Molecule: ribosomal RNA, 88 nt
Filed under: Clostridia bacterium
Lineage: Bacteria; Bacillati; Bacillota; Clostridia
Source: RNAcentral
UGUUCCCAUUCCGAACACAGCAGUUAAGCUCUCCAGCGCCGAUAGUACUUGGGACGUGAGUCCCUGGGAGGGUAGGUCGUUGCCAGGA